This 433-nucleotide ribosomal RNA is filed under the name uncultured bacterium. Its description in RNAcentral is "partial 16S ribosomal RNA". It matches the Rfam family "Bacterial small subunit ribosomal RNA", at positions 29 to 507 of the family's 1533-position model. The record is from RNAcentral.
AACGAACGCUGGCGGCAUGCCUAACACAUGCAAGUCGAACGAGACCUUCGGGUCUAGUGGCGCACGGGUGCGUAACGCGUGGGAACCUGCCCUUAGGUUCGGAAUAACUCCCCGAAAGGGGUGCUAAUACCGGAUAAUUUCUUCGGACCAACGAUUUAUCGCCUUUGGAUGGGCCCGCGUUGGAUUAGCUAGUUGGUAGGGUAAAAGCCUACCAAGGCGACGAUCCAGAGCUGGUCUGAGAGGAUGAUCAGCCACACUGGGACUGAGACACGGCCCAGACUCCUACGGGAGGCAGCAGUGGGGAAUAUUGGACAAUGGGCGAAAGCCUGAUCCAGCAAUGCCGCGUGAGUGAUGAAGGCCUUAGGGUUGUAAAGCUCUUUUACCCGGGAUGAUAAUGACAGUACCGGGAGAAUAAGCUCCGGCUAACUCCGUG